CCAAAGGCUCUUUUCAGAGCCACCCCACUUUCUCAUAAAAGGAGCUG
Molecule: non-coding RNA, 47 nt
Organism: Pterocles gutturalis (yellow-throated sandgrouse)
Lineage: Eukaryota; Metazoa; Chordata; Aves; Pterocliformes; Pteroclidae
Source: Rfam